GCCAGACUCCUACGGGAGGCAGCAGUGGGGGAUAUUGCACAAUGGGGGAAACCCUGAUGCAGCGACGCCGCGUGAGUGAAGAAGUAUUUCGGUAUGUAAAGCUCUAUCAGCAGGGAAGAAAAAAGACGGUACCUGACUAAGAAGCCCCGGCUAACUACGUGCCAGCAGCCGCGGUAAUACGUAGGGGGCAAGCGUUAUCCGGAUUUACUGGGUGUAAAGGGAGCGUAGACGGCAAUACAAGUCGGAAGUGAAAUACCCGGGCUCAACCUGGGAACUGCUUUGGAAACUGUAUGGCUGGAGUGCUGGAGAGGUAAGCGGAAUUCCUAGUGUAGCGGUGAAAUGCGUAGAUAUUAGGAGGAACACCAGUGGCGGAGGCGGCUUACUGGACAGUAACUGACGUUGAGGCUCGAAAGCGUGGGGAGCAAACAGGAUUAGAUACCCCAGUACCU
This 449-nucleotide ribosomal RNA is filed under the name uncultured bacterium. Its description in RNAcentral is "bacterial SSU rRNA". It matches the Rfam family "Bacterial small subunit ribosomal RNA", at positions 330 to 795 of the family's 1533-position model. The record is from RNAcentral.